Molecule: ribosomal RNA, 253 nt
Filed under: uncultured bacterium
Lineage: Bacteria
Description: partial 16S ribosomal RNA
Rfam family: Bacterial small subunit ribosomal RNA
Source: RNAcentral
UACGUAGGGGGCAAGCGUUGUCCGGAAUCAUUGGGCGUAAAGCGCGUGUAGGCGGCUCGGUAAGUCUGCUCUGAAAGCCCGGGGCUCAACCCUGGGAGGCGGGUGGAUACUGCUGAGCUCGAGUCCGGAAGAGGCGAGUGGAAUUCCUGGUGUAGCGGUGAAAUGCGCAGAUAUCAGGAGGAACACCAAUGGCGAAGGCAGCUCGCUGGGACGGUACUGACGCUGAGACGCGAAAGCGUGGGGAGCGAACAGG